RNAcentral lists this ribosomal RNA (254 nucleotides) under uncultured bacterium. Its description in RNAcentral is "partial 16S ribosomal RNA". It matches the Rfam family "Bacterial small subunit ribosomal RNA", at positions 524 to 776 of the family's 1533-position model. The record is from RNAcentral.
UACGUAGGGGGCAAGCGUUGUCCGGAUUUAUUGGGCGUAAAGAGCUCGUAGGUGGUUCGGUAAGUCGGAUGUGAAAUCUCCAGGCUCAACCUGGAGGGGUCAUUCGAUACUGCCGUGACUAGAGGUCGGUAGGGGAGUGUGGAAUUCCUGGUGGAGCGGUGAAAUGCGCAGAUAUCAGGAGGAACACCGGUGGCGAAGGCGGUUCUCUGGGCCUUACCUGACGCUGAGGAGCGAAAGCGUGGGGAGCGAACAGG